CCACUUAUUCUCUUUUGUGAUCCUUGUUUGCUUUGCCUUACUCUUUUGAUUAUAUUGCGAUUAUAACAUCUUGAUAUCUAUUGAUUAUACACAAUUAUAUUGUGAUUAUAACAUCUUGGUUAUACACCCUCCGUUCAACCCUAAUGUGGCUGGCCCAGCUGAUCUGCGGCACUUCGACCCAGAGUUCACCCAGGAAGCGAUCUCUGCCUCCAUCACCCACACACCUGACUUAGCAGCCAGCAGCUCCAGUGCCUCAGAUGCUUUUUUAGGAUUUUCUUAUGCACCAACUGAAGAGGACUUCUAGAUUUUAUAAAGGCUUUGCGAAGCCAGGUUUUAACUGAAUGCAAUUUUAUGUUUGCUGUUAUUGCAGUGGCUUUUCUCGUUUCAGUUUUUGGAAGGAAUAGUAAUGUCACUUUCUUAUGGUCUAAACCAGGGGACUAAUACACUAACUGGUUGGGAUGGAACAGAGCUCUUAAUUUGUGCUGUUUGGUGGAUUUGCCUCUAAGUGGGUGUUCCUGUAGCAAGGAAAGUGAGACACUAAUAAUUAUCUCUGUACUAUUUGGUAGGGCUGUAUUCACCGUGGUUGUAUUUAUGACUAAGAUAUAUGUACCAUCACGCACAUCGCAGCCACAUCUCUGGAACAGGUCAUUUCUAUGGUGUGGAGCUACUGCUGCCUUGUAACAAAGGGAAACUUCACAGCACAGCAGUGGGAAGAUCGUGGGCUUCUUCCUUUUGAAGUAGGAUGCGCUCAUCUAAAUGGCUGGGAAAAGGACAAUCUGAUCCCAGGAGCAAGGCUGGAGUUCAAGCAGGGCAGUUCAGCAAGCCUUCUGCCCAGGGCCAAUAAAAAAGCUCGUAGCUGCAGGCGUUCCCCUGCUCCUGCCUGGAGGUGCUCGUUGCAUUUCAGUACUUCAGAGCAGAAAUGAGGAGGUCGAUGGACGCCGCUGAAGAAGCAGAGCCGCCUUGGUGGAAGGAGGGAGCGCUGCUGGUGGGAGGAAAGAGCAGCCUCGUGCUGGGCUCAGCAGCUGUCAGUCGCUGCUGGCAGGGCUGCGGAUCCUGUGCUCUCCUAAGGGCUGCUCCUCAGCAGCAACAGAAGCCUUGCGGUGCCCGCGUUGCUCUGGCGAUGGCUGUCGCGAUGUGCACACGAUCUUUGUUCUGCCUGAAUUUAAAUGCCGGUGUACUGCUUGA
Lagopus muta (rock ptarmigan) is the source of this 1185-nucleotide long non-coding RNA. RefSeq lists it as uncharacterized. The transcript is spliced from 2 exons. The record is from RefSeq and is a predicted model, not a curated record. Lineage: Eukaryota; Metazoa; Chordata; Aves; Galliformes; Phasianidae.